GUUAGGAAUAUUGGACAAUGGGCGAAAGCCUGAUCCAGCCAUGCCGCGUGAACGAUGAAGGCCUUCGGGUUGUAAAGUUCUUUAGCCGAUGAUUAUAAUGACUGUAGUCGGAAAAUAAGCCCCGGCUACUUCGUGCCAGCAGCCGCGGUAAUACGAAGGGGGCGAGCGUUAUUCGGAAUCACUGGGCGUAAAGCGUGCGUAGGCGGUUUUGUAAGUUAGGAGUGAAAGCCCAGGGCUCAACCUUGGAAUUGCUCUUAAAACUGCAAGGCUCGAAUCUCGGAGAGGAUAGCGGAAUUUCCAGUGUAGCAGUGAAAUGCGUAGAUAUUGGAAGGAACACCAGUGGCGUAAGCGGCUAUCUGGACGAGUAUUGACGCUGAGGCACGAAAGCGUGGGGAUCAAACAGGAUUAGAUACCCCGGUAGUCC
This 424-nucleotide ribosomal RNA is filed under the name uncultured bacterium. RNAcentral describes it as "partial 16S ribosomal RNA". It matches the Rfam family "Bacterial small subunit ribosomal RNA", at positions 354 to 796 of the family's 1533-position model. The record is from RNAcentral.